GAUGAACGCUGGCGGCGUGCCUAACACAUGCAAGUCGAACGGACAGACGUGGUCCUUUCUUCUCGAACGGUGGACGCGGGCGGGUUACUAACGAGUGGGUAAGCUACCUAUAGGACUCGGAUCGCAACCGGAACUCGGAGCUCAUACCGGAUAAGAUAUUGAACCGCAGGGUGCAAGACUUUGAGACGGUUUUGCUGUCACUGAUAGAUGAGGCCGCGGCGGAUUAGCUAGUUGGUAAGGUAACGGCUUACCAAGGCAACGAUGCGUAGCCGACCUGAGAGGGUGACCGGCCACACUGGAACUGAGACACGGCCCAGACUCCUACGGGAGGCAGCAGUAGGGAAUCUUCCGCAAUGGGCGAAAGCCUGAUCGAGUCACGCCGCGUGCAUGAUGAAGGUCUUCGGAUCGUAAACUUCUGUUAUUCGGGACGAACAGAUGUGUAAGUAACUAUGCACGUCUUGACGGUACCGAAACAGAAAGCCCCGGCUAACUACGUG
This 497-nucleotide ribosomal RNA is filed under the name uncultured bacterium. RNAcentral describes it as "partial 16S ribosomal RNA". It matches the Rfam family "Bacterial small subunit ribosomal RNA", at positions 28 to 507 of the family's 1533-position model. The record is from RNAcentral.